AUUGAACGCUGGCGGCAUGCCUUACACAUGCAAGUCGAACGGUAACAAGUCUUCGGAUGCUGACGAGUGGCGAACGGGUGAGUAAUACAUCGGAACGUGCCUAGUAGUGGGGGAUAACUACUCGAAAGAGUGGCUAAUACCGCAUGAGAUCUACGGAUGAAAGCAGGGGAUCGCAAGACCUUGUGCUACUAGAGCGGCCGAUGGCAGAUUAGGUAGGUGGUGGGAUAAAAGCUUACCAAGCCGACGAUCUGUAGCUGGUCUGAGAGGACGAUCAGCCACACUGGGACUGAGACACGGCGCAGACUACUACGGGAGGCAGCAGUGGGGAAUUUUGGACAAUGGGCGACAGCCUGAUCCAGCAAUGCCGCGUGCAGGAUGAAGGCCUUCGGGUUGUAAACUGCUUUUGUACGGAACGAAAAGCCCCGGGUUAAUACCCUGGGGUCAUGACGGUACCGUAAGAAUAAGCACCGGCUAACUACGUGCCAGCCGCCGCAGUAA
This 498-nucleotide ribosomal RNA is filed under the name uncultured bacterium. Its description in RNAcentral is "partial 16S ribosomal RNA". It matches the Rfam family "Bacterial small subunit ribosomal RNA", at positions 30 to 523 of the family's 1533-position model. The record is from RNAcentral.